This 85-nucleotide antisense RNA is filed under the name Lactococcus cremoris subsp. cremoris TIFN6. Its description in RNAcentral is "Lactococcus lactis subsp. cremoris TIFN6 ctRNA". It matches the Rfam family "ctRNA". Rfam says of the family: Rolling circle replication plasmids contain a number of mechanisms to maintain a low copy number. Lineage: Bacteria; Bacillati; Bacillota; Bacilli; Lactobacillales; Streptococcaceae. The record is from Rfam by way of RNAcentral.
UGAGAAGUUGCUCCUUAUGAGUAAUUUUAGUUAAGCAUGAAGAAAAUAUCUUUGGACGGAAUUUCUUCAUGCUUUUAUUAUAUCA